UUUAUGUAUCCAAAUCAAGCUUCUUACAAAGUGAUUCAUUCUGGUUUGAUUGGAACGACGAAGAAGUUGUCCUAUUCCCAAACUGGGAAACUGGAAUCACCUGAUUUGAAAGUGGGAUAACUUCUUCAUCCCAACUCCUAUGAGAUUUAUUCAACUUCCUGGUGUUUCUCCAACACUUUAUUGUUGAAAUGAAGAAGGGAAUGACCAGAAGAAGAAUCUGGUUCAUGAUCCAAGUUUGAUAUUGUAGAGGAAGUAAUCCAGAUACUUCAAGAUGAGACUAGUUCAUACAGACUUGUGAACCAAGUUAUGGUUAGAGUGGAGAAGGAAGAAGCAUGGCUGUGUGUGAUCCAUUGAUCUUAGAAAUAAAGAAGACAAAGAGAAGAAGAGAUACUUGAAAAGAUUCAGGUCUGGAAAACCUUGCUACACAAGGCAGUCCGUACAGUCUUGGCUUCCAAGUUACCUAGAGUGACUUGGAUGGUAAGGCAGGUGAGGAACUCGUCCAGUUUGAUCUUCUGAAGCAGAUUUGAAGUUAAAAUGGAGCAUCAGACCGUUGGAGAGAGCUGAGACAAGUUGGGAAUUAAAUAGAGUAAAAGUCACAUGUGCAUAAGAGGAUGAACAUGUUGUCACUUUCACCCAACCAGACUGUGCCCAUAUCUCUCUCCUGUCACUCUCUACUCCCUCUGGUCGAGAUUCACCUUGGCUGUACCUUCCUGGCUUCAUCAGAAAACCCUACAAUAUUAUUUGUUUAGUAAAACCCUGUUUUAGCAUUUGUUUAAUAUGUGUGCUUGUCUAUUUAAGACAAUGCUGUAUCUGAUUGUAAAUUAAGGAGAGUAAAACUCUUUCUUCACAUACUCUGGUUACUAAACUCUCAGAUUCUUCUAUUCUCUCUAUUCUCUUGUCUCUCACGACCUCCAUUACUCCCUUAUACUCUAGCAUACUCAGAAACUCUCCCAAACACUUUAUACUCUCUCCACUGUCUCAUUACUUUCAAUUGCUCAUCAAUCACUCUCUGGUUUCAUACUGAACCAGAAGCUUAUUCUCAUCAUAUUCCUUUUAUUUCAUCUCAAUUCUUUCAUGGUAUCAGAACCAUAAGCUCUUGAGAACCUAUAUUGCUUCCGCAAAUCAUCCCUGUCCAAAAUCUCUCUUUAAAAAUCUGUUCAAACCUGUUCGUUACAUCCUUUUAUCCUCUGGUCCAAAGGUUUUCCAGGAGGGAAAAACAUCACCAGAACUCAAGAUAAAGGAGUAUCUCAGUCUCUGGAACUCAAGAAAGUCUUAGCUCAGUUCAGCAAGCUUCAUCAAAGUCCAGUCUUUCAAAUCCUGUCCCUUUCAAACCAGUAGGAACAUCCUAUUAUCCACUGGUCCAAAAAUCUUCAAGAUGAUGAAUAUUCAAGCAUGGGCGAGUUCAGUGAAGCUCAAAACUCCAAACUACUCUCUCUGGGUCAGAAUGAUGAAGAAAAACCCUAGAGGCAAAGGUGUUUGGAGCCAUACUUCAGAUGAAGCUCCAUGGAAAAUCUGCAAGGUCUUUGCUCAUGUUAAUGAGAGGCAACCAGAAGCUCAGUCUCUGUCCAACAAAUCCUACUUCAAGUUGGAAGAGAAGAAAGGUCAGAAGAGUCAGCACUGCAAGAAGGACUCACUAAGGAUAGGUGGUGGAUAUUCAAUCCACAUCUGAAACAAAUGUACUUUCAAUAAGCCCCCAUGGGCUGGAGAGUCAAGAAACCAGCUCAGGUUUCUUGAGAGUAAGCGGAAUCUUCUACUCUAAUAAAAGCACUGUGUGUGCUGGUCGUUUGUGUUGUCUUAGGGUGUUUAGAAACUAGCUUGUUGUUCUUGUCUAGUUUCUACACAUGAAAAGACUGUCCAAUUGUCAUUUUGUCUAAGUAUUUGUCUGCCUUAGAAUUUUGUUAAGAGUCUUAGUGCUAUUUUUAAUCUCUGUCUCUGAAAAAUUUUUUUUUUGCCAUUAUAUUAUUCUAAUCUUGUCUAGAAAAUUGUCUGGUUUAUUUGCUUCAAAAUUGUCAAGAAAAAGUUUAGAAAUUUCUUUUAAAAUGUUGUUUAGACCUGGUGUUAGGUUGUGAUGUUUCUAUGUUACCUGAAUGGUUAGUUAUGAUAAUUAGGAUUCAGUGUUGUUGCUUGAAUAGUUUCAAGAAAGUGUAUGUCCAUUGUGUUCUUUGUUAAGGUGUUUUUGGAGAUCAGACUUGGUGAGAAACCAUGUUCUGAUCUCUUUAUUGUCUUUUGAUUCCUGUCUUUAGUUGUGAUGACAGGUUAUUAAAUGUUAUGUGAUGACCUUUACACAUCAAGCACAAGCUCAAAGCUCACACCCUCUUGAAGACUGCUCAAACCGACUUUCUCAAAUUUACUUCAAUAUGGAGUCAACAAAAGCCACAGUCAUUCUCAGGGUUCCUAUCUGAUCCCCUGGUCGUGUAUGAACCAAGAAGACCAGGAGGACAGGAGGGGAUCCAAGGGCGAGCUUUACAAACAGGGCUAAACACACAAGGAAAAGGAGUUGGGUAAUGAAUCCAAAACUCAAAUCCACCAAGCUCAGAUGAGUAGUGUGUAUAUGGAGGUUCAAGGAACCAGCCCAGGUUCCUUGGCUGUAAGUUAAACCUCCUAAACCUGAACAAUAGCUUGUGUAAUGUGUCUGGUCGUUUUUUUUUGAGUGAUGGUGUAGAGUCCAAUGGAUCAUGAUAAGUUGCUAGAAGUUGCAUUGUGUCUUAAUCUUAUCAUCUGUGGUUGUUUUUGUUCCUAGAAGUGUCUGCCUAGGUUGUCAUGCAUCCAUGAUAUAUUGGUCUUGAUUGGGAGUCCUUUAAUUGUCAUGUCUGCCUUGAGAUUGUUAAGUAUCUAGGAGUGUUCCUAGAUGUGUGGUGUAUUCAUGCUGUUGUUAAAAUUGAUUAGGUUAUUAGCCUAGUCUUCUUUAGCAUCUGGAUUGUCUUAAAAAUGCAUAUUGGAUUGUAUUAAAGAGGCAUACAUAUUGUUCCUGAUGCAUUCAUAUUGUUUCUAAAGCUGUCAUAGGAGGUGAUAAGCUGUUUUGCAAUCUAUUUUUAAGCAGUGGCGACCAGUCUUGAGUUUAUUCAAUGAUCUGGUCCCAUGCUGAUGUUACUGAUCCCUAUCUGAGUUGUAAUGGUGUGUAGGACACAGGAUGUGACUAUUAGACCAGAAGCAGCAACAGGAAAAGGGAUAUAACCAUGUUAAUCAGAGCCUGCACAAGAUGCAUAUUCCUGAACAUGGAGAAAAGAGACCAUGUUGUUCAGAGCCUACACUUGGUGUAUAUUACUGACCAUGGAGAGACAUCUUAUGGUGGAAUCAGUUGGCUUAAGCGCAGGCGUAGGAGCUGUUGUGCUCCUGGUUCAAGAGACUCACAAGGAAGGCCAUCACCUAAGUCAUGAGGAGACUGGUGGUCCA
This is a long non-coding RNA of Brassica rapa (field mustard), 3393 nucleotides long. RefSeq lists it as uncharacterized. The record is from RefSeq and is a predicted model, not a curated record. NCBI's taxonomy places the organism in Eukaryota, Viridiplantae, Streptophyta, Magnoliopsida, Brassicales, Brassicaceae.